RNAcentral lists this transfer RNA (93 nucleotides) under Gammaproteobacteria bacterium. RNAcentral describes it as "tRNA-Sec". It matches the Rfam family "Selenocysteine transfer RNA". Lineage: Bacteria; Pseudomonadati; Pseudomonadota; Gammaproteobacteria. RNAcentral also lists the same sequence under 1 other name. The record is from RNAcentral.
GGUGAAGUUUGCGGAGCGGUCUCCGUCCUGGUCUUCAAAACCAGAGAGGUCUUGUUAAAAGCGCCUAUCGUUCGACUCGGUACUUCACCGCCA